RNAcentral lists this ribosomal RNA (465 nucleotides) under uncultured bacterium. RNAcentral describes it as "bacterial SSU rRNA". It matches the Rfam family "Bacterial small subunit ribosomal RNA", at positions 331 to 793 of the family's 1533-position model. The record is from RNAcentral.
CCAGACUCCUACGGGAGGCAGCAGUGAGGAAUAUUGGUCAAUGGCCGGGAGGCUGAACCAGCCAAGUCGCGUGAGGGAAGACGGCCCUACGGGUUGUAAACCUCUUUUGCCGGGGAGCAAGGGCGGGGACGUGUCCCGGCCCGGAGAGUACCCGGAGAAAAAGCAUCGGCUAACUCCGUGCCAGCAGCCGCGGUAAUACGGAGGAUGCGAGCGUUAUCCGGAUUUAUUGGGUUUAAAGGGUGCGUAGGCGGGCUUUUAAGUCAGCGGUAAAAAUUCGGGGCUCAACCCCGUCCGGCCGUUGAAACUGGGGGCCUUGAGUGGGCGAGAAGUAAGCGGAAUGCGUGGUGUAGCGGUGAAAUGCAUAGAUAUCACGCAGAACGCCGAUUGCGAAGGCAGCUUACCGGCGCUCAACUGACGCUGAGGCACGAAAGUGCGGGUAUCGAACAGGAUUAGAUACCCGGGUAC